GCGCUGACAUUAAUGACGUUUUGAAAGCUCUGGCCUCCGAAGCCGGAUGGGUGGUGGAACCCGACGGCAACACUUAUCGCUCCCAGGUAACCUCCAUGCCCGGGCCUUGCGUCCAUUCCUUGGGAUUCUCAAUGCACAACGUUUUAAUUCAUUUAACUGCGCGCUAAUGGUGUACUCUUGCAAUCAAUGAAAGCAGCUCUCGCUAAUGCUCUUAGCUAGAUAAAUUUAAGUCCAAAGCUUCAAAAUCUUAUUUAUUCAAUGCAAGGGGAUUACCCCGUCUGUGUCAAAAAGGAGAAAAAGAAAAGAAAAGAAAGAAUCCUACUUUUUUGUUAAAGAAUUUGAUAGUUGCCCUGAAUUAGGGCUGGUGAAGGAUACUUCAAGUUGAAUGAGUAGCGACCAAGUAGAAUAAUCGUGAUUGAUCAUCAAUUAUUCAGCCACCAGACCAGAAAUCUUGCUCUUGUUUGACUUGAUUGGAUGUAGUAAUUUUCUGCAUCUCAACUAUAUUCACAUUGAUGUAUCUUGUUUGUUUCGUUGUGUUCAAUUGCAGCAU
RNAcentral lists this long non-coding RNA (550 nucleotides) under Physcomitrium patens. RNAcentral describes it as "long non-coding RNA (PPAT_LNC002669)". Lineage: Eukaryota; Viridiplantae; Streptophyta; Bryopsida; Funariales; Funariaceae. The record is from RNAcentral.